This 329-nucleotide ribosomal RNA is filed under the name uncultured eukaryote. RNAcentral describes it as "partial 18S ribosomal RNA". It matches the Rfam family "Eukaryotic small subunit ribosomal RNA", at positions 1470 to 1796 of the family's 1831-position model. The record is from RNAcentral.
CCCUUAGAUGUUCUGGGCCGCACGCGCGCUACACUGAUGCAUUCAACGAGUCUAAAACCUGCUCUGAUAGGGGUGGGUAAUCUUUUGAAUGUGCAUCGUGAUUGGGAUAGAUGAUUGCAAUUUUUCAUCUUCAACGAGGAAUGCCUAGUAAGCGCAAGUCAUCAGCUUGCGUUGAUUACGUCCCUGCCCUUUGUACACACCGCCCGUCGCUCCUACCGAUUGAAUGAUCCGAUGAAUAUCAUGGAUUGAGGAUGCAAGCAGGUUCGCCUGUCUUCAUCUUCGAGAAGUGAAGUAAAUCUUAUCAUUUAGAGGAAGGAGAAGUCGUAACA